Molecule: long non-coding RNA, 331 nt
Filed under: Salvator merianae (Argentine black and white tegu)
Lineage: Eukaryota; Metazoa; Chordata; Lepidosauria; Squamata; Teiidae
Description: lncRNA (ENSSMRG00000010987.1)
Source: RNAcentral
AGGCAACAGGCAAAGUCUCGACACAAACUGUACUAGACUGCUUUGUCAACAAGCUGACCACUUUGCAAGGAAAGAAUCCCAGCAGUGGGUUGUUCUUAUCAACUGGGAUCACCAAGAGAUCAAAACUGCAUUUUCCACUCAUUUUGGAUGCCACAGCCCGAGAACCAUGCCCACAGCUCCCACAGAAAGAAUGUCAAGAGAUGGAGGACAAUUAAUCCUUACAAAAGCAGCCAUGAAGUCCCGGAAUGUGCAGGAUUGCCACGUGGCUCCGCUGAGACCAGUCACUAGCAGCAGCAGUUCCCAAACCAAAACAACAGAAUCAUUAAUCUGA